Molecule: ribosomal RNA, 506 nt
Filed under: uncultured bacterium
Lineage: Bacteria
Description: partial 16S ribosomal RNA
Rfam family: Bacterial small subunit ribosomal RNA
Source: RNAcentral
AGUGAACGCUGGCGGUAGGCCUAACACAUGCAAGUCGAACGGCAGCACAGGAGAGCUUGCUCUCUGGGUGGCGAGUGGCGGACGGGUGAGGAAUACAUCGGAAUCUACUUUUUCGUGGGGUAUAACGUAGGGAAACUUACGCUAAUACCGCAUACGACCUACGGGUGAAAGCAGGGGCUCUUCGGACCUUGCGCGAUUGAAUGAGCCGAUGUCGGACUAGCUAGUUGGCGGGGUAAAGGCCCACCAAGGCGACGAUCCGUAACUGGUCUGAGGGGAUGGUCAGACACACUGGAUCUGAGACAUCGUCCCGACUCCUACGGGAGGCAGCAGUGGGGAAUAUUGGACAAUGGGCGCAAUCCUGAGCCAGCCAUGCCGGGUGGGUGGAGAAGGCCUUCGGGUUGUAAAGCCCUUUUGUUGGGAAAGAAAUCCAGCUGGUUAAUACCCGGUUGGGGUGACGGUACCCAAAGAAUGAGCGCCGGCUAACUUCGUGCCAGCCGCGGCAGUAA